UACGAAGGGUGCAAACGUUGCUCGGAAUUAUUGGGCGUAAAGCGCACGUAGGCGGCUUGGCAAGUCGGAUGUGAAAUCCCUCGGCUCAACCAAGGAAGUGCAUCCGAAACUGCUGAGCUUGAGUACGAAAGAGGAUCGCGGAAUUCCCGGUGUAGAGGUGAAAUUCGUAGAUAUCAAGAGGAACACCUGAGGUGAAGACGGGUUGCUGGGCUGACACUGACGCUGAGGCGCGAAAGCCAGGGGAGCAAACGGG
RNAcentral lists this ribosomal RNA (253 nucleotides) under uncultured bacterium. Its description in RNAcentral is "partial 16S ribosomal RNA". It matches the Rfam family "Bacterial small subunit ribosomal RNA", at positions 524 to 776 of the family's 1533-position model. The record is from RNAcentral.